This 196-nucleotide small nuclear RNA is filed under the name Phaseolus vulgaris (common bean). RNAcentral's name for it is "U2 spliceosomal RNA". It matches the Rfam family "U2 spliceosomal RNA". From Rfam's summary of the family: U2 is a small nuclear RNA (snRNA) component of the spliceosome (involved in pre-mRNA splicing). Complementary binding between U2 snRNA (in an area lying towards the 5' end but 3' to hairpin I) and the branchpoint sequence (BPS) of the intron results the bulging out of an unpaired adenosine, on the BPS, which initiates a nucleophilic attack at the intronic 5' splice site, thus starting the first of two transesterification reactions that mediate splicing. Lineage: Eukaryota; Viridiplantae; Streptophyta; Magnoliopsida; Fabales; Fabaceae. The record is from Rfam by way of RNAcentral.
AGACCGAUGUCAACCUUUUGGCUAAGAUCAAGUGUAGUAUCUGUUCUUAUCAGUUUAAUAUAUGAUAUGUGGAUCAUUGAUUCACACUAUAUUAAAUUUAUUUUUUGAGGGAAAGUGUUCAUUACAAUAGCUUGCUAUUGGAACUCUUAUGCAUGACUCUUGUUUUGCACUAUUGCAUGAGUCUUCUGCAUCCCAC